Molecule: non-coding RNA, 2260 nt
Organism: Vicugna pacos (alpaca)
Lineage: Eukaryota; Metazoa; Chordata; Mammalia; Artiodactyla; Camelidae
Source: RefSeq, a predicted model, not a curated record
AAAAAAAUUAAUUAUUUUUAAUGGAGUCCUGGGGGAUUGAACCCAGGAUCUCGAGCGUGCUAAGCACACGCCUUACCAAGACCUCUUGAUGAUAAAGAAGCCAAAGUAAAAUGCUCCUUUUUCAAUCAGAGUCCAUAAUUUUAGGGAAGAAGACGAUUACUUGGAGGUAGUUUAUAGUAACGAUAUUUAUAGUUGACUCACCUUUAGGGAAAUCCCAUGCCUUUGAAGCUACUCCAUGAAAAAAACUAAAAUGAUUUCAUAAGUUUGGGAAACCAACCCUUCCCUUCCUUAUGGAGCGUCAUUGACAUCUGAAGGGUGUUCUGAGAACUUCUACAGCAAAGAACCCUGGAAAGACUUCAGGCUAAACAAACAAACAAACAAGUGUCUAAUGGCCUGGCAAGAAGCAUAUAAGGUGGUUUCCAACACAGUGAGAUUAUAAGGAAGCUGCCUGAAGCUCUCUCCCUGCUCAGGAUUGUGAAUCUCACAGAUCUGCCAGAGUGCCCACAAAUCCCACCAUUAGAGAUGCACUCCUUUGCAUCGAGGGCAGACAAGUGUUCCCUAGGACCACGCAAUGCCAUGGCUCAACCUAGCAGGAGACAGCCAACAAGAAGCACCCACAGUCUCCAUUGUGGGGGAGUGGAUGCACUACUGUGGCAUGGAACCUGGAAGUGAGAAUAGGAUGCGAGCUGGGACCACAGACAAAGUGGCACUGCCCGGGUGUCACUCAGAAGACUACAAGAAGAAUGUUGGAGCUAGGUGUCAAGAAAAGGUCCAUGGGAAAGAGGACUUGUUACUGAUGGGAAGUCAGGUGGAGAACGCUAACCUGUAGUGCCUUGAACGUAUUACCAUUGACUGAAUGACUAAACAAGCAGAGGUUAGAAGGGCCCUUAGUAGGACUGAGGACUUUCUGAGCCUCCUGUUAUUUCAGACUAAGGUGCUGAUGGAAUCGGCCCUGUCUGCAAAGCCCAGGGAGACUUCUAGGGGUGAUAGUCUCAGCUCUGGGUGUGGUAAGGAUUUAACAAAGAAGAAAAUUUGGACAGCAACUCAAAAGAGUGGAUAUCAGAUCCACACUUUCUAGUAGAUAAGGACAUGCCCACCUUAAGCAAAGCAGGUGUCAUAGUCUCAAAUGGCGGUAUGUCUAAGUGGAAAUCAGCGCAGGUCAUCUUUGCAGAUAUAUUUAAUCUAACGGAGGCGUUGGAGGCUGGGAGAGUGUAGGGUCUGAGAUACAAUCCUGUCUUACAGCAGCUCAGAGGCUUUGUUCCUGCCAGCGAGCUCAGUCGUUAGGAGUCCAAAUGCAGGGUGCAAAGCCAUUGGUGGCUGUGGACUUCAAGUUCAGAGCAGGACCGAUUUUUAUCAUGGUUCUUAGAUGAAGUUCAAGAUAAGGCCCCCCAAACUUCUCCUUUCCCUGGGAACAAUGCAGAAACUCUAUUUACUCCCUGGGUUACUUUAAUGCUGGGUGAUUCAAAUAUUCAUUUCUGUCUUCCUUUAGUCAAGCCAAAUUUUUCAUGUGCUUAGCCAAAAGCUAUUGGAAAAUCAGGAUGAUAGCCAGGUUCAGAGUAAUUUCUAAAAUACAAGACAAAGUAGAAAAAGAAUUAGACUGCUCUUUGAACAUAAAAACAAGUAACAUUACCAAUGCAGGUUCAAAGCCAGCCUCAUAAAGAAAGAAGUAUAAUUGUAAAUUUUAAUAGCUGCAACUGAACUACAUUUUGCAUGGAUUUGUAAAGCAGCCUGUGCAAAAAGGGAGAUUAUGAGUCACGAGCAUGACUGUGUCAAUCUCUGAGUCACACGUCAGUUUCUGAAAUUGAUCUUGAGUGUAUUCACUCUGGUAUGAGCCUCGUCCUAAAGAGAGGGAUUCUUUUGGAGCUGUUCUAACUAGGGUGUCCUCUUGAGCAGGGCACUGAAAAAUCCUCUGUCAUUUGCCAUGGUGAUGGCAGUACGUGCAGUUCAUCCUGUGUCACAAAAAUCAGGUCAUCUCUCGCUGGGUUGGUGAAGUGCUACGGGUGGAGGGGAGGAAAAUCAGUGAGGAGAUUGUCUGGUGAAACUGCUGAACAGCUCCUUGAUUUUAACGUGUGUUACACGCUCCUGAAAUUUCUUUGGAGGAAAGAACACCUGCAGAAUAUCGACAAUUUUUGAAGCUUGAUGGUAGAUAAAGGGGGUUAAUUAUAUGAUCUUUACUUUUGUUUAAAAUUUUCUAUUAUAAAAGCUAAAAUACUGCUCCAAAGCAUUCCUAGGAAAUCUUUUUUCUUUUUUCUUUUUUUUU